This 253-nucleotide ribosomal RNA is filed under the name uncultured bacterium. RNAcentral describes it as "partial 16S ribosomal RNA". It matches the Rfam family "Bacterial small subunit ribosomal RNA", at positions 524 to 776 of the family's 1533-position model. The record is from RNAcentral.
UACGUAGGGGGCAAGCGUUGUCCGGAUUUAUUGGGCGUAAAGAGCGUGUAGGCGGCCAUACAGGUCCGUUGUGAAAACUGGAGGCUCAACCUCCAGCUGUCGACGGAAACCGUGUGGCUAGAGUCCGGAAGAGGAGAGUGGAAUUCCUGGUGUAGCGGUGAAAUGCGCAGAUAUCAGGAAGAACACCCGUGGCGAAGGCGGCUCUCUGGGACGGUACUGACGCUGAGACGCGAAAGCGUGGGGAGCGAACAGG